GGUAAUUCCUCCACGUGUAGGAAACUAUCACUUAGAGAAAAUUUCUCUCUUUGUCAGGUGUUGUAAACACGUAUUUUGGGUUUCUUCUACAGACUUGAUAAAAUGUCUUUCUUCUCAUCAUGGAUCAAAGUUAUUUUUAUCAUGGUCUUGGCAUUUCCUCUUUAUUCUGAAACUUCUUUAAAACCUCCUCCAAGAGAACAGCCAGACUGUGAAGCAUUUAAGGAUCGAUUACAUGUAUGCACCAACAAAAUGGACCCAGUCUGUGCAUCCAAUGGUCGUACUUACCACAAUGGAUGCAUUUUC
Myotis myotis is the source of this 303-nucleotide long non-coding RNA. RefSeq lists it as uncharacterized. NCBI's taxonomy places the organism in Eukaryota, Metazoa, Chordata, Mammalia, Chiroptera, Vespertilionidae. The transcript is spliced from 3 exons. The record is from RefSeq and is a predicted model, not a curated record.